AUACAACAAUAUGUAAUAU
This 19-nucleotide small nuclear RNA is filed under the name Arabidopsis thaliana (thale cress). Its description in RNAcentral is "snRNA_02336". Lineage: Eukaryota; Viridiplantae; Streptophyta; Magnoliopsida; Brassicales; Brassicaceae. The record is from RNAcentral.